GAUGAACGCUGGCGGCGUGCCUAAUACAUGCAAGUCGAGCGAACAGAUAAGGAGCUUGCUCCUUUGACGUUAGCGGCGGACGGGUGAGUAACACGUGGAUAACCUACCUAUAAGACUGGGAUAACUUCGGGAAACCGGAGCUAAUACCGGAUAACAUAUUGAACCGCAUGGUUCAAUAGUGAAAGGCGGCUUUGCUGUCACUUAUAGAUGGAUCCGCGCCGUAUUAGCUAGUUGGUAAGGUAACGGCUUACCAAGGCAACGAUACGUAGCCGACCUGAGAGGGUGAUCGCCCACACUGGAACUGAGACACGGUCCAGACUCCUACGGGAGGCGGCAGUAGGGAAUCUUCCGCAAUGGGCGAAAGCCUGACGGAGCAACGCCGCGUGAGUGAUGAAGGUCUUCGGAUCGUAAAACUCUGUUAUCAGGGAAGAACAAAUGUGUAAGUAACUGUGCACAUCUUGACGGUACCUGAUCAGAAAGCCACGGCUAACUACGUG
RNAcentral lists this ribosomal RNA (497 nucleotides) under uncultured bacterium. RNAcentral describes it as "partial 16S ribosomal RNA". It matches the Rfam family "Bacterial small subunit ribosomal RNA", at positions 28 to 507 of the family's 1533-position model. The record is from RNAcentral.